GUCAGCGGGUAUCCCUACCUGAUCCGAGGUC
This 31-nucleotide ribosomal RNA is filed under the name Alternaria alternata. RNAcentral's name for it is "partial 18S ribosomal RNA". The record is from RNAcentral. Lineage: Eukaryota; Fungi; Ascomycota; Dothideomycetes; Pleosporales; Pleosporaceae.